UUUUGGAUCAAGAAGAAUUUGGAGACGAUGACAUCAUCACUCAUGUCAUGUACAUCUACGUUAAAACAUGUAAUCAUCAACAGCAGCCAAACAGAAGAAGCAGAGAGGAGGAUUCAUCUGCAGUUGACUCCACAGUGAGAACUGAAGACGUCAGUUAUGGACAAACAGCCAUCAGAACAAGGAGGCCCAGACUUUAAACCAGAGCCAGACGUCGUCUACUCUUCACUGAAGUAGUCCACCAGUCCAACCACUGACAUCCAGCUGCUGGUCUCUAACUGGUCCCUCAGACAAGAGGACAUCCACAUGGUCAAAAAUUUUUGUUUGUUUGCUUUUUUUUUUUUCAAUAAUUUGAACUAAAUAAAGAAGAUGUUAUAUUUAAGUUUCACGGUGGAAUUUAUCUGUGAAUAAAAUACAAAUAGUUUCAAUGUUUUAUUUAAUGACCUCAGUAACUUUAAUAAUUUUCUUCAUUUUUUAUGUUUCCUGGAUCUUAUUUCUCUGUAGGAUUCAUAAAGUUUUUCUCAUGUGGUUCUGUGGGUUUCACUAAAGUGUCAGAUGGAAAAUUUGACUUGCUUGCAUUUGGUUGUGGCUAACCUAGAUUUUGAUCAUGACCGUGAAGUGUACCAGCAACAUGAUCACCUAAUAUUCACUUUAAGCAGGUGUAAGCACAAGCUGUGAACUGCUGUCUGAGUGUGGAGCAAGAAAAAACGGUGGGAAUGUUACAUAAUUAGCCAAUCCUGACCAAAUUAAUAUGAAGAAGAUUGUUUCCACAUGUAGCAGCUGAAUAACAGCUGGGAUCAACAUCUGAGGAUUUCCUCUCUAAAACAGGGACACAGUCACACACAGAGGCUGAGAGUUACAACAGUACAGCUUCACAGUCACCGCUGUACUAACACUCUGCCCAAACUUCCUUCUAGGCUCCUUUCACAUUAAAGGCACAUCCUUAAAUGCGUUUUAGAUAGUAUAGUAUAUAGUGUGUUUUAGAAUUAAAUUCAAAAUUUUACUUUUGACUUAUAAAGUGCUAAAUAAAUAACUUAAAAAGCGCUAAGGCACCGGACUAUUAGUCUGACCUUUUGCAGCGUUAUACGCCCUCUAGAGCCCUUCAAUCAAGCGAUCAUCUACUCCUCACCUUACAUAAGUCUAGGAUGGUUCAUAGACGAGCUCGGGCAUUUGCAGUUGUGGCACCGAAAAUGUGGAAUGAUCUACCUCUCCACAUUAGAAAGGCCCCAACUGUUACUCUUUUUAAAUCGCAUCUUAAAACACUUUUUUUUUUAAACUUUGGCUUUUGAAACUGUAUGAGAGUUACCAAUUCUUUUAUCCUAAUUUUCUUUAAAUUUUCUUACCUGUUGUUGUUGUUAAUUUCAUUGUUUAAUUGUUAUAUUGUA
This is a long non-coding RNA of Oreochromis niloticus (Nile tilapia), 1382 nucleotides long. RefSeq lists it as uncharacterized. NCBI's taxonomy places the organism in Eukaryota, Metazoa, Chordata, Actinopteri, Cichliformes, Cichlidae. The record is from RefSeq and is a predicted model, not a curated record. The transcript has 3 exons.